UACGUAGGGUGCAAGCGUUGUCCGGAAUUACUGGGCGUAAAGAGUUCGUAGGCGGCUCGUCGCGUCGACCGUGAAAACCCGCAGCUUAACUGCGGGCUUGCGGUUGAUACGGGCGGGCUAGAGUUCGGUAGGGGAGACUGGAAUUCCUGGUGUAGCGGUGAAAUGCGCAGAUAUCAGGAGGAACACCGGUGGCGAAGGCGGGUCUCUGGGCCGAUACUGACGCUGAGGAGCGAAAGCGUGGGGAGCGAACAGG
This 253-nucleotide ribosomal RNA is filed under the name uncultured bacterium. RNAcentral describes it as "partial 16S ribosomal RNA". It matches the Rfam family "Bacterial small subunit ribosomal RNA", at positions 524 to 776 of the family's 1533-position model. The record is from RNAcentral.